This 344-nucleotide long non-coding RNA is filed under the name Olea europaea (common olive). Its description in RNAcentral is "long non-coding RNA (OEUR_LNC002214)". The record is from RNAcentral. Lineage: Eukaryota; Viridiplantae; Streptophyta; Magnoliopsida; Lamiales; Oleaceae.
AAGAAUAUACAACUGGAAAAAUAAAUAAGUGCUACAUGACUUUCGUGAGAUAGGAAUAUCCCUUUAUGGUUUAACUCUACAUAAGUCAGAAGCUAUCUUUUAUGGCAUCGAGUUUGGACUCUUAAAAGGAUAAAUGUCCAUAAGUUGAAGAUAGCUGAAAUGACGAUAGUAACAUGGAUGUACAAUUCAACUAAAAUGGUAAGAUAAGUAAUAAGAAUAGUGGAAACAACACUAAUUUUGGAUCAAGGGAAGGACGAGUUAGAUGGUUUGGUGUAUCUUGGAUAGUCCUAAAGAGUGGUAAAAAAUGAUACAUAUAAUCAGUUGAAAAUUUAUCAGAAAUUAGG